Molecule: signal recognition particle RNA, 299 nt
Filed under: Cebus imitator (Panamanian white-faced capuchin)
Lineage: Eukaryota; Metazoa; Chordata; Mammalia; Primates; Cebidae
Description: Metazoan signal recognition particle RNA (ENSCCAG00000008878.1)
Rfam family: Metazoan signal recognition particle RNA
About the family: The signal recognition particle (SRP) is a universally conserved ribonucleoprotein. It is involved in the co-translational targeting of proteins to membranes. The eukaryotic SRP consists of a 300-nucleotide 7S RNA and six proteins: SRPs 72, 68, 54, 19, 14, and 9.
Source: RNAcentral
GCUGGGCACAGUGACAGGUGCUUGUAGUCCCAGAUAGUCAGAAGGCUGAGGUGGGAGGGUCGCUUGAGCCCAGGAGUUCUGGGCUGUAGUGCGCUACACCAGUUACGUGUCCACACUAAGUUCAGCAUCAAUAUGGUGAUCUCCCUGGAGUGGGGGAACACGAGGUUGCCUAACGAGGGCUGAACAGUCCCAGUUUAGAAGCGGAGUAGGUCAAAACUCCCGUGCCGAUCAGCAGUGGGAUCACACCUGUGAAUAGGCACUGCACUCCAGCCUGGGCAACAGAGCGAGACCCUGUCUCU